GCGCUGAAAGCAUCUAAGCGCGAAGCCAACUUCAAGAUAAGAUUUCCCACCGUAAGGGUAAGAUCCCAGGAAGACUACCUGGUUGAUAGGUCGGAGGUGUAAGUGCAGCAAUGUAUGUAGCUUACCGAUACUAAUAGAUCGAGGACUUGACCAA
RNAcentral lists this non-coding RNA (154 nucleotides) under Paraclostridium benzoelyticum. Its description in RNAcentral is "Bacterial large subunit ribosomal RNA". It matches the Rfam family "Bacterial large subunit ribosomal RNA", at positions 2768 to 2925 of the family's 2925-position model. Lineage: Bacteria; Bacillati; Bacillota; Clostridia; Peptostreptococcales; Peptostreptococcaceae. The record is from Rfam by way of RNAcentral.